RNAcentral lists this ribosomal RNA (472 nucleotides) under uncultured organism. Its description in RNAcentral is "partial 16S ribosomal RNA". It matches the Rfam family "Bacterial small subunit ribosomal RNA", at positions 335 to 798 of the family's 1533-position model. The record is from RNAcentral.
ACUCCUGCGGGAGGCAGCAGUGGGGAAUUUUGGACACUGGGCGAAAGCCUGAUCCAGCAAUGCCGCGUGAGUGAAGAAGGCCUUCGGGUUGUAAAGCUCUUUUGUCAGGGAAGAAACGGUGAGAGCUAAUAUCUUUUGCUAAUGACGGUACCUGAAGAAUAAGCACCGGCUAACUACGUGCCAGCAGCCGCGGUAAUACGUAGGGUGCAAGCGUUAAUCGGAAUUACUGGGCGUAAGGCGUGCGCAGGCGGUUUUGUAAGUCUGAUGUGAAAUCCCCGGGCUCAACCUGGGAAUUGCAUUGGAGACUGCAAGGCUAGAAUCUGGCAGAGGGGGGUAGAAUUCCACGUGUAGCAGUGAAAUGCGUAGAUAUGUGGAGGAACACCGAUGGCGAAGGCAGCCCCCUGGGUCAAGAUUGACGCUCAUGCACGAAAGCGUGGGGAGCAAACAGGAUUAGAAACCCCAGUAGUCCCAU